AUUACUCCCCCAAAAUAUCUGCAGUUGUGUGUGUGUGUGUGUGUGUGUGUAUGACAUUGACAAGCUGAUUCUAAAAUCACCUGAAAUUGCAAAGGACUCAGAACAGCGAAGAUGAGUUGCAGGACCAGAGGAAUGGCAGCAGCGAGCUGGGCGGCUUGUGCUGGCACCCAGCCUCACAGCGAAGCUGCCGUGAUUGUUGGGGUGGCCGUGGUCAAGGAGAGAAAGACCAAGGGAACUGAACUGAGUCUCAAAACAGGCCCACACACGUACGCCAAAGUUAACACUUGCUUACAAAUCGGGGAAGAAGAGUCUUUUCCAACAUUUUUGCUGGGUGAAUUGAAUACAUGUAUGGGAAAAGAAGUCUUGAUGCCUACUUUACAAUAUGUACACAUAUACCCCUAAUUCAUAAGGAUUGUAGAACUAAUUCUGAGGGAUAAACAAUAAAGCUGUAGAAAAAAAUAGGAAAAUAUCUUUAUGGCCUUGGGGGUAGGCAGUAAUUUCUUACAUAGAGUAUAAAAAAGCACAGCCAUUGAGGAAAAAAUUGAUACAUUUGAUCACAUUGAAAUUAAGAACUUAUAUUUGCCGAAAGAUGCAGUUAAUAAUGUGCAAGAGGAUGAAGAGGCAAGCCACAGAGUCGCAAAAGAUACUUGCAGGGCAUAUAUCUGACAGAGGACUCUGAUCCAGAAUAUAUAAAGACCUUCUACAAAUCAGUAAGAAAAAGACAAACAACCCGUAGAAAAAUGGGGAAAAGACAUGAACUGCACUUCACAAAAGGGGCUAUCCAAAUGGUCCAAAAAUAUUUGAGAAUGGACUUACCCUUGAGUUAUCAGGGAAGUGAAAGUUAACACCGCAGUGUAACACACACCCACCUUCGAAAUCUUACACCACCAGUGUUGUAACUAGCCAGACUGUGGAGCAGCCGGAACUCUUGUGUUGUGCUGGUGGGAAUGUAACUUGUACAACUACUUUGGGAAACUUUGGCAGCAUCCUUAAAGGUGCAUGUACUCACACCCAAAGACCCAGAAAUUCCACUUCUAGGUAUUUGCCAACAGAAAUGCAUGCAUGCUGUCACCAAGACAUGAGCAAGGAUGUUCGUAACAGCAUAAGGGGAGCAUAAAUGAUUGGAGAUGUUACAGCAAUGAAAAUCUUGCUAUCCCUAGACACAGAAGCAUGUUUGAAUAUCGCAAACAUAACGUUGAGGGGGAAAAGCCAGACGCAAAAGAGAAAAUGCUUCACGAUUCCAGUUGUUUAAACCUCACAGACAGGCCAGGCUACUCUCUGUUGGUGGAGGUCACAAAGUGGCUGCAUCUGUGACUGGGAGAGGACAGGAGACAGAUCCUGGAAAAUCUGAAGCGUUUCCCAAGGCCCUCUAAUUUGACAGAAACCAAUCCUGCACUGUGUACACACAGCCUAGCUGUCAACUGAGGACUCGCACUUCCCCACAUGGAGCUUGGGGACCUCGCACACAGCUUCCUCUUCCCCUGUGUCCUGCCCCAUGCAUUCCCAUGGCUUCUGCUGCCCCAAGUCUGGUCUCCACAUCUUCAGGUCUGUGUGACCUCUGUAUUCCAGCACUCUGUGCCUGUCCGUAGGCAAGAGUUGAGCAAUUCUAAGUUGUCUUUCUCCAGGGGAUUCCAGUCUUCACUCUCUGUCAUCCACUGCCUGAGAACAGCUGUUCAUACAUUUUGUCCAGUUUUAUGGUUAUUUAUGGUGGAAAGGCUAGUCUGGUAUCAGCUAACCCAUAGGGUCUAGUAGUGGAAGUCACAAGUAAGCUUCCUGAUGGAGAAGGCAGUCUGUGUCUCCACUCCCCUGCCCCAUGCCCCCCCUUGACCCAUUGCACCCAAACCUCUGGCCCCACCACCCCAGUGACAUUUCUUUGCCUGGAAACUUCUUUUUUUUUUUUAAGGUAUGCUUUUUGGUGAGGAAGAUUGACUCUGAGCUAAUAUCUGUUGCCAAUCUUCCUCACUUUUUGUUUUUUUUUCUCCCCAAAGCCCCAGUACAUAGUUGUAUAUACUAGUUGUAAGUCCUUCUAGUUCUUCUAUGUGGGAUGCCGCCACAGCAUGGCUUGACGAGUGGUGUGUAGGUCUGCGCCCAGGACCCAAACUAGCAAACCCCAGGCUGCCGAGGCAGCACAUGUGAACUUAGCCACUACGCCACUGGGCCAGCCUCUGCCUGGGAACUUCUCAACCCUGGCUUCCAGGAUGCUCUUCUCUCCUUGUUCUUUCCCCCUCAGCUUGCUCUUUCUGGUCCCUUUGCUCACCCCUUUCCUCAGACCAUCUCCUCAAUGCUGGCUUCCCCUGGAGAUCCAUGAUUGCCCCUUACCUCUCCUCCUGCAGACAUUUACUAGGCUGUGGCUUCCACCCGCCUUCUUCUGAUGAUUCUCUGGUCUGUACCUUCAGUUCUCAUCUUUGCUCUGGCCUGUGGGCCCAUCUUCACCUGAUGUUGUAGGUGGUGGUGCCAGGGGCCUUUCCUCGACAGUCCUGAAUGGAACUUAAUGUCUUUACCUCAAACCUGUUCCUCUCUCUUGUUUUCCCUCCACUCUGACACCCGAAGCAGGAGUGGCCAUGCAGGCCUGGUCCCCUAAAUUCUUUUCUCACUUGCAGUGGCCACCAAGUCCUGAUUCUGACACUUCCGAAUGUACUCCUUCUAGCUCCC
This 2652-nucleotide long non-coding RNA is filed under the name Equus caballus (horse). RNAcentral describes it as "lncRNA (ENSECAG00000046430.1)". The record is from RNAcentral. Lineage: Eukaryota; Metazoa; Chordata; Mammalia; Perissodactyla; Equidae.